GACGAACGCUGGCGGCGUGCCUAAUACGUGCAAGUAGAACGCUGAAGGAGGAGCUUGCUUCUCUGGAUGAGUUGCGAACGGGUGAGUAACGCGUAGGUAACCUGCCUGGUAGCGGGGGAUAACUAUUGGAAACGAUAGCUAAUACCGCAUAAGAGUAGAUGUUGCAUGACAUUUGCUUAAAAGGUGCAAUUGCAUCACUACCAGAUGGACCUGCGUUGUAUUAGCUAGUUGGUGAGGUAACGGCUCACCAAGGCAACGAUACAUAGCCGACCUGAGAGGGUGAUCGGCCACACUGGGACUGAGACACGGCCCAGACUCCUACGGGAGGCAGCAGUAGGGAAUCUUCGGCAAUGGGGGGAACCCUGACCGAGCAACGCCGCGUGAGUGAAGAAGGUUUUCGGAUCGUAAAGCUCUGUUGUAAGAGAAGAACGAGUGUGAGAGUGGAAAGUUCACACUG
This 457-nucleotide ribosomal RNA is filed under the name Streptococcus mitis. Its description in RNAcentral is "bacterial SSU rRNA". It matches the Rfam family "Bacterial small subunit ribosomal RNA", at positions 28 to 471 of the family's 1533-position model. The record is from RNAcentral. Lineage: Bacteria; Bacillati; Bacillota; Bacilli; Lactobacillales; Streptococcaceae.